Molecule: long non-coding RNA, 1256 nt
Organism: Herpailurus yagouaroundi (jaguarundi)
Lineage: Eukaryota; Metazoa; Chordata; Mammalia; Carnivora; Felidae
Exons: 3
Source: RefSeq, a predicted model, not a curated record
AGUCGGCCGCUCAACCGACUGAGCCACCCAGGCGCCCCCAGUGUCCUUAUUUCUUGCAGCUAAUUGCUUUCUUCCAGCACUUAGAAAAUCUGCAGAAAGAAUGUGAGAGCAGUCCUGUCUGCAUGGGUGCAAUUUCUUAAGGAAGGGACCCUUGCAUAUCUGAACAUGAUCUCUCCCUUUGAGCUCAAGAUGGGUGCUCAGGGGAACGUAUAGAAAAGGACAGUCCCAGCCCCUCCCAAAAGGGAACUAGGCAUUGGAGGAGCAAUGGAAAAGUCCAGAAGAAGAUGCACAUGACAGAGCUGUGCCAGAUGUGGUGUGAUUAUUGAUUCUGUUCCAAGUAGUCUUGGACUGUGAUCAAAAUCAGAAAAAAAAAAGUGCUUUAACAGAAAAUGUACCCAGGUAAUAUCAGUUUCUGGCUCAAGCUGGCCAGUGAAUGCAUGUACACGGCAGAGCCUGUUUGAAAGACUACUUUGGAAUAUUUUUUUAAAUUUUAUUUUAGAAAGAGAGAGCACGCAGACAAUGGGGAGAGACAGAGAAACGUAAGCAGGCUCCACACUCAGCGCAGAGCUCAACGUGGGGAUCAAUCCCAUGUCUCUGGGAUCACGACCUGAGCCACAAUCAUGAGUCGGACCCUCAACCGACUGAGCCACCUGGGCACCCCUUGAGAGACUACUUUGGAAGCCAGAUCAUGGACGACCAAGUUCACUGCCUCAACUGCCCCAAACCAAAGUGCCCUUUGUGGCCACCUGUAGUCAGGGGAAAGGACUAGUGCCAGAGGAAUCAUUUGCGUAUUAUGACCACGUUCUCCUCCAGUCCUCCCGGGACCUGAUGGGGGUGUGCUGACCUUGGCUCCCAUUCAUGCUGCCAGCUGUGAUGGCUCCACCAUGGGCAUGUGUGCCCGCCACAGUUAUGCCUUCUGUAUUCUGUGCCAACCGACCCCCUCUUAGAGCCCCUCCACAGGAGAUGACUGUAGGAUGUUGGGAUGUGUGAACUUGACAAACUAGAAAAAAAAAGCCUCUUCAUUUUAAUGGUAAUUUUAUUUCUUUUAUUUCUUUAUUUCAUCAUUUAUGCUCUUGGCAUAACCUGUUGUAGGUUCUGGGAAUACAGCGUCGAACCAAAGACACAAACACCUCUUGUCGGCACGGAGCUUACUUUCUACCGGUGGGGACACAGGCAAUGAGCCAAGCAAACAAGGAUAUUACGAGGUGGCCAAAAAAGAACUUUAGACUUAGAGUCUACGACACCAAGCAGGCUCC